RNAcentral lists this unclassified non-coding RNA (315 nucleotides) under Hevea brasiliensis (rubber tree). Lineage: Eukaryota; Viridiplantae; Streptophyta; Magnoliopsida; Malpighiales; Euphorbiaceae. The record is from RNAcentral.
GGAUGAUGAGAUUUACAAUCAGGUAUAUCAACAACAUUAUGAGUGCCCUCCUCAUAAAGCCCAAUCAAGGGGUUGGUGGAUGAACCGCGAACAGCCAGCUUAGCCCGACACCUCCAUCCCCAUAAUCUACAGGAGUCAAAUGAAAAAUCUUUGAUUCCGAGCUUGUUGAAGAAACCAAUAGCUUCAUCAAUUACAACCGGAUGAUGUAGAUUGUACUCUUGAGUACAACCAGAACACGAUUGGAAAUGAGUGCAGUUGAGGGCGCAGGACAAGGAAGGAUUAGGGUUUACAGGGAGAGGUGAAGGAAGUCAAACU